Molecule: unclassified non-coding RNA, 358 nt
Filed under: soil metagenome
Description: partial contains 5.8S ribosomal RNA, internal transcribed spacer 2, and large subunit ribosomal RNA
Rfam family: 5.8S ribosomal RNA (bases 1-120)
Source: RNAcentral
GAUGAAGAACGUAGUGAAAUGCGAUAAGUAAUGUGAAUUGCAGAAUUCAGUGAAUCAUCGAAUCUUUGAACGCACAUUGCGCCCGUCAGUAUUCUGGCGGGCAUGCCUGUUCGAGCGUCAUUACGCCCCUCAAGUCCCCUGUGGACUUGGUGUUGGGGAUCGGCGAGGCUGGUUUUCCAGCACAGCCGUCCCUUAAAUUACUUGGCGGUCUCGCCGUGGCCCUCCUCUGCGCAGUAGUAAAACACUCGCAACAGGAGCCCGGCGCGGUCCACUGCCGUAAAACCCCCCAACUUUUUAUAGUUGACCUCGAAUCAGGUAGGACUACCCGCUGAACUUAAGCAUAUCAAUAAGCGGAGGA